Molecule: ribosomal RNA, 642 nt
Filed under: uncultured bacterium
Lineage: Bacteria
Description: bacterial SSU rRNA
Rfam family: Bacterial small subunit ribosomal RNA
Source: RNAcentral
AAUGAACGCUGGCGGCGUGCUUAACACAUGCAAGUCGCACGAGAACGCUUCAGCUUGCUGGAGCUAGUAAAGUGGCGUACGGGUGAGUAACGCGUGGGUAAUCUAUCUCUGAAUUGGGGAUAACAUUGCGAAAGCGAUGCUAAUACCGGAUAAAAUCCAUUAAACCUCGGUUUUUUUGGAUCAAAGGUGGCCUCUACAUGUAAGCUACUGUUUGGAGACGAGCUCGCGUACCAUUAGCUCGUUGGUAGGGUAAAGGCCUACCAAGGCAAUGAUGGUUAGCUGGUCUGAGAGGAUGAUCAGCCACACUGGAACUGACACACGGUCCAGACUCCUACGGGAGGCAGCAGUGAGGAAUUUUGCGCAAUGGGGGAAACCCUGACGCAGCAACGCCGCGUGAGUGAUGAAGGCUUUCGGGUCGUAAAGCUCUGUCAAGUGGGAAGAACCCGUGCCGUACAAAUAGUGCGGUGCGCUGACGGUACCACUGAAGGAAGCACCGGCUAACUCCGUGCCAGCAGCCGCGGUAAUACGGGGGGUGCAAGCGUUAUUCGGAAUCAUUGGGCGUAAAGAGCGCGUAGGCGGUCUUCUAUGUCAGGUGUGAAAGCCCGGGGCUCAACCCCGGAAGUGCAUUUGAAACUGGGAGAC